UACACAUGCAGUCGAACGGACCUUUCGGGGUUAGUGGCGGACGGGUGAGUAACACGUGGGAACGUGCCUUUAGGUUCGGAAUAGCUCCUGGAAACGGGUGGUAAUGCCGAAUGUGCCCUUCGGGGGAAAGAUUUAUCGCCUUUAGAGCGGCCCGCGUCUGAUUAGCUAGUUGGUGAGGUAAUGGCUCACCAAGGCUACGAUCAGUAGCUGGUCUGAGAGGAUGACCAGCCACAUUGGGACUGAGACACGGCCCAAACUCCUACGGGAGGCAGCAGUGGGGAAUCUUGCGCAAUGGGCGAAAGCCUGACGCAGCCAUGCUGCGUGGAUGAUGAAGGUCUUAGGAUUGUAAAAUCCUUUCACCGGUGAAGAUAAUGACUGUAGCCGGAGAAGAAGCCCCGGCUAACUUCGUGCCAGCAGCCGCGGUAAUACGAAGGGGGCUAGCGUUGCUCGGAAUUACUGGGCGUAAAGGGAGCGUAGGCGGACAUUUAAGUCAGGGGUGAAAUCCCAGAGCUCAACUCUGGAACUGCCUUUGAUACUGGGUGUCUUGAGUGUGAGAGAGGUAUGUGGAACUCCGAGUGUAGAGGUGAAAUUCGUAGAUAUUCGGAAGAACACCAGUGGCGAAGGCGACAUACUGGCUCAUUACUGACGCUGAGGCUCGAAAGCGUGNGGAGCAACAGGAUUAGAACCCUGGUAGUCACGCCGUAACGAUGAUGCUAGUGUCGGAAGCUUGCUUUCGUGACGCACUACGCAUAGCAU
This 756-nucleotide ribosomal RNA is filed under the name uncultured bacterium. Its description in RNAcentral is "bacterial SSU rRNA". It matches the Rfam family "Bacterial small subunit ribosomal RNA", at positions 50 to 867 of the family's 1533-position model. The record is from RNAcentral.